RNAcentral lists this long non-coding RNA (687 nucleotides) under Capra hircus (goat). RNAcentral's name for it is "lncRNA (ENSCHIG00000002124.1)". The record is from RNAcentral. Lineage: Eukaryota; Metazoa; Chordata; Mammalia; Artiodactyla; Bovidae.
GUAAGCCUUCUGGGAAAGACUUUCACUUUGAUUGAAGAGAGAAAUACUCCAGUGCUUUUAUUUUCUCUGCCUGUGAGAUGAAGCUGUGCGGGAGAUAGUACUUGGAGCCCCUAAAGCUAGAUACUAACAUAAAGAGAGUAGCUAGUACACUGAGGAUGAUGGAGAAGAACUAUGAGCUCUUGGUAACAUUGCUAAUGAUCACAAUAACCUGUGAAAUAUCUUGUCUCUGGGUUUGUUGAGAUAAUAUGUCUCAUAUAAUUUAAACUACUUUUAAUUAGGUACCCUGUAAUUUAAAGCUUGGAGCAGAUAUAUGACACAAAUUUUGUUCCGCAGAGCUAUAAGGAACAGACCAUAAAAUGUAAAACUUGCAGAGUUAAGUCGACAGAACAAGGACAGUGGUGGCUGGAGCUCUCCCACUUGGGAAGUAGUGCACGUUGUCAUUUUAUGGGCAGGUAACUGGUCUUUGAACCAUACUUUUGCAAACAUGGACCCAGUGAAGAAAACUGUGCCUCACCCAGAUGUCCAAGACCUGGAGCCAGAGACUGGAGGAUCCUCGAGGCUUGUUUUCUUUCAGAAAUGAAAGAAUGAGUACCGUGUAAGUGUGAGGCCGCUAUUUUAGCAUAAAGAUGGCACAUAUGGGUAUCGGGUGCCCAGAGUGGAAGGUGCGAACUAUUGUUAAAUACCUAG